RNAcentral lists this ribosomal RNA (253 nucleotides) under uncultured bacterium. RNAcentral describes it as "partial 16S ribosomal RNA". It matches the Rfam family "Bacterial small subunit ribosomal RNA", at positions 524 to 776 of the family's 1533-position model. The record is from RNAcentral. RNAcentral also lists the same sequence under 1 other name.
UACGGAAGGGGCAAGCGUUGUUCGGAAUUAUUGGGCGUAAAGGGCGUGUAGGUGGUUCUGUAUGUCUACCGUGAAAGCGUACGGCUCAACCGUAUUUAGUCGGUGGAAACUGCAGGACUUGAGGCUGGGAGGGGCUGGUGGAAUUCCCCGUGUAGCGGUGAAAUGCGUAGAGAUGGGGGAGAACACUCGUGGCGAAGGCGGCCAGCUAGACCAGUUCUGACACUGAGGCGCGACAGCGUGGGGAGCAAACAGG